RNAcentral lists this ribosomal RNA (207 nucleotides) under uncultured bacterium. Its description in RNAcentral is "partial 16S ribosomal RNA". It matches the Rfam family "Bacterial small subunit ribosomal RNA", at positions 568 to 774 of the family's 1533-position model. The record is from RNAcentral.
CUCGUAGGCGGCUUGUCGCGUCUGCCGUGAAAGGCCAGCGCUUAACGCUGGGAGUGCGGUGGGUACGGGCAGGCUAGAGUUCGGUAGGGGAGACUGGAAUUCCUGGUGUAGCGGUGGAAUGCGCAGAUAUCAGGAGGAACACCGAUGGCGAAGGCAGGUCUCUGGGCCGUUACUGACGCUGAGGAGCGAAAGCAUGGGUAGCGAACA